GAUGAAGAACGUAGCGAAAUGCGAUAAGUAAUGUGAAUUGCAGAAUUCAGUGAAUCAUCGAAUCUUUGAACGCACCUUGCGCCCUUUGGCCAUUCCGAAGGGCAUGCCUGUUUGAGUAUCAUGAACACCUCAACUCUUCAUGGUUCUCCAUGAUGAGCUUGGACUUUGGGGGUCUUGCUGGCCUGUGGGUCGGCUCCUCUCAAAUGAAUCAGCUUGCCGGUUUUUGGUGGGCAUCACAGGUGUGAUAACUAUCUACGCUUGUGGUUUUCCACCAGGGUAACCUUCAGCAGUGGAGGUUCACUGGAGCUUACAAAUGUCUCUCCUCUGUGAGGACAGCCCUUUGAAUGUUUGAUCUCAAAUCAGGUAGGACUACCCGCUGAACUUAAGCAUAUCAAUAAGCGGAGGA
Molecule: unclassified non-coding RNA, 406 nt
Filed under: soil metagenome
Description: partial contains 5.8S ribosomal RNA, internal transcribed spacer 2, and large subunit ribosomal RNA
Rfam family: 5.8S ribosomal RNA (bases 1-121)
Source: RNAcentral